RNAcentral lists this ribosomal RNA (145 nucleotides) under uncultured bacterium. RNAcentral describes it as "partial 16S ribosomal RNA". It matches the Rfam family "Bacterial small subunit ribosomal RNA", at positions 369 to 507 of the family's 1533-position model. The record is from RNAcentral.
CAAUGGGCGAAAGCCUGACGGAGCAACGCCGCGUGAGUGAUAAAGGUCUUCGGAUCGUAAGACUCUGUUAUCAGGGAAGAACAGAUGUGUAUGUAACUGUGCACAUCUGACGGUACCUGAUCAGAGAGCCACGGCUAUCUACGUG